This 252-nucleotide ribosomal RNA is filed under the name uncultured bacterium. Its description in RNAcentral is "partial 16S ribosomal RNA". It matches the Rfam family "Bacterial small subunit ribosomal RNA", at positions 524 to 776 of the family's 1533-position model. RNAcentral also lists the same sequence under 1 other name. The record is from RNAcentral.
UACGUAGGUGGCAAGCGUUGUCCGGAAUUAUUGGGCGUAAAGCGCGCGCAGGUGGCUAUGUAAGUCUGAUGUUAAAGCCCGAGGCUCAACCUCGGUUCGCAUUGGAAACUGUGUAGCUUGAGUGCAGGAGAGGAAAGUGGUAUUCCACGUGUAGCGGUGAAAUGCGUAGAGAUGUGGAGGAACACCAGUGGCGAAGGCGACUUUCUGGCCUGUAACUGACACUGAGGCGCGAAAGCGUGGGGAGCAAACAGG